GGCCCCUUAGCUCAGCUGGAUAGAGCACCUGCCUUCUAAGCAGGUUGUCGCAGGUUCGAAUCCUGCAGGGGUCGCCA
This 77-nucleotide transfer RNA is filed under the name Ensifer fredii. Its description in RNAcentral is "Sinorhizobium fredii tRNA-Arg". It matches the Rfam family "tRNA". From Rfam's summary of the family: Transfer RNA (tRNA) molecules are approximately 80 nucleotides in length. Their secondary structure includes four short double-helical elements and three loops (D, anti-codon, and T loops). Lineage: Bacteria; Pseudomonadati; Pseudomonadota; Alphaproteobacteria; Hyphomicrobiales; Rhizobiaceae. The record is from RNAcentral. RNAcentral also lists the same sequence under 10 other names.